RNA transcript from Solanum pennellii, 1785 nucleotides. It is a transcript of the gene named nucleolar GTP-binding protein 1, with no coding region annotated. The transcript is spliced from 15 exons. Lineage: Eukaryota; Viridiplantae; Streptophyta; Magnoliopsida; Solanales; Solanaceae. The record is from RefSeq and is a predicted model, not a curated record.
AUACGCUUCAAAUUAUGUUAUGCAUUUUCGUUAUUGCAAAUCCUUAUUUUGUUAAAGGCGAGUACCACUACCGUCCACCGGUGCUACUCAGAGCUCAGUAAAGCUCAGGGCUAAGAGAGAUAUGAGCGGCACUUCAGGUCUUCUUCAGCUAUGGCAAGUUCCAUCCUCAUCACUGUUCUUCGGCCGUUCCAAAGGUCUGUACUUGGUUCCUGUGCGUGUUAUGUAUCCAAUGUCAUGUUUCUGUAAGCAAAUGCAAACUACUACUUAUGCAAUUGUUAAAGGAAGCUAUGUAUCAAAUCCACAGAACCAACAAGAAAACAAAGAAAAAUUGACACCUAAGGUAGAAAAUGUAGGUGCUUUUCAAAAAUUACCCAUGGUAAUGCCGUCUGUAGAUAUUCUACAUUCAGCACUGAGGAAAGCAAAGAGGGUCUCACCUACAAAGGGCAUUGCUAAUGCUGCAAAACGUGAGAGAAAUAAAGGCGCAAAACAACUUGACGCAUUAAUGAAGGAGUUGGCUGUGCCCUUGAGAACAUACAAAGAGAACUUCCCAAACAAAAAAUAUUUGCACCCUUAUGAAAGAUCUUUGAUUGAGUUAACGCUUGGAGAUGGAAACUAUGAAGAUGUAUUGGGAAAGUUAGAAGCUCUAAGGAAAAAGGUGGUAUCAGUUGGAAAGGAACAUGCAUCAUUAUGUGCUAAGUCAUUAUCUAAACGAGAAGCAGAGGAGCGACUGAAUGAGGGAUUGAAAAGAAUUGAGGAGAUAUUUGAUGGUGAUGGAAAAGCUGUCGAUGAACUAUUGAACAUUGCCAAGACAUUACGGGCAAUGCCAGUUGUCGAUCUGGAAACACCAACUCUCUGUCUUGUCGGUGCUCCCAAUGUCGGAAAAUCAUCUUUGGUUCGCGUACUUUCGACAGGGAAGCCUGAGAUCUGCAACUAUCCCUUCACUACUAGAGGAAUUCUGAUGGGUCAUAUUAAUUUGAGUUACCAGAAUUUUCAGGUUACUGAUACCCCUGGUAUCUUAAGAAGAGCUGAUGAGGAAAGGAAUAACUUGGAAAAGUUAACACUUGCUGUUCUCACUCAUUUGCCUACUGCAGUACUUUAUGUUCAUGAUUUAUCUGGAGAAUGUGGGAUGUCACCUUCUGAUCAGUUUGUGAUCUAUAAGGAAAUGCGAGAGAGAUUCAGCAGCCAUAUUUGGCUUGAUGUCGUGUCCAAAUGUGACUUACUGCAAGCAUCUCCUGUCAUCUUUGCAACAGAUGAUUGUAAUGUUGAUAACUUUGAGCUGGUGAGGUAUAGGAAGAUGGGACCUGAUGGAGCCCUAAAUGUGUCGGUAAAGAAUGAGAUUGGUCUUCAUGAGUUGAAGAAAAGAGUUUACGAGCUGCUUGUUUCUCAAUCAGAAAGGAUCAAAAAUCAAAAGAGCAAGGAGGAAGAGCUGGAAGUUCCAAGCUAGUUCGUCUAAUGAAAUUCCUAACAGAUCUCUAACCUGCUGGUAAUUAGCUGCAGGUUUUCGCGCUUGGUCCAAGAAUACGACAUGUUUCGAGGCGUAUUUCUCGGGUAUUUGGACAAUGAGGUGCUCUAUAAGAUAGACAGAUAUUCAGAUCAUUUGUCAAAUGUUGCAGAUGGGGUUGCCAUAUUCUGUAAGUUUUAGUUACAGCAAUCUUUGAUAAGUUCCUUUGGAAAAAUCUCUCAAAUGCUUUUUAAAUUUGAUUUAUUUUAUCUUUUUGGAUAUUUUGUAAAUGUUAUUAAAAAUUUCUCUUAUUUAGUGGAUGGAGAUAUAACAUUUGAAUUUUU